Molecule: unclassified non-coding RNA, 271 nt
Filed under: uncultured fungus
Lineage: Eukaryota; Fungi
Description: sequence contains ITS2
Source: RNAcentral
AAUUCUCAACUUCAAAGCUUUCUUAUGAAAAUUUUGAAGGUUGGAUGUGGGGGCUUGCUGGCGUCUUUAGAUGUUCGGCUCUCCUUAAAGUUAUUAGUGGGAAUGUCUUUUGUUAGGCGAUCCUUGGUGUGAUAAUUAUCUACACUUUGGAUAGUUUAAUGGUUCCAUUGAGGCUAUUAGUAUUGCGAUUAAGUUUGCUUUACUUGGGUCUCAGAGGAAAAGAUAAGUCUUGCUUUCUAACCGUCUGUGUAACAUGGACAAUUUAUUGACU